CCGCCUGGGAAGUACGAGCGCAAGCUUAAAACUCAAAGGAAUAGGCGGGAAUUUGCACAAGCAGUGGAUCAUGUGGUUCAAUUCGACACUGAGCGAGGAACCUCACCAGGGCUUGAAAUUCUAGUGUAAGCCUUAGGAAACUAAGGCCCCCGCAAGGCACUAGGACAGGUGCUGCACGGCUGUCGUCAGCUCGUCAUGUGAAUGGUUUCCUUAAGUGGAUUAACGAGCGCAACCCCUAUUGUCUGUUAUACGUGUCAGACGAGACUGCUCCGGUAACGGAGAGGAAGGUGGGGAUGACGUCAAGUCAGCGUGGCCCUUUGAUGCCCUGGGCUACACACAUGAUACAAUGGGUGUUACAAUGGGUCGCUAAGCCGCGAGGCGGAGCUAAUCCCAUCAAAGGCACCCUCAGUUCGGAUAGGAGGCUGAAACUUGCCUCCUUGAAGCUGGAAUUGCUAGUAAUCGCUGAUCAGAACGCAGCGGUGAAUACGUUCUCAAAUUUUGCACUCACAAUAAAAGCGCCUGGCAGGUUAUAUUUCUAAGCGGUUGAAAUCCGUUCCUCGAAUGUCCGUCAUUCGAGCGUAGCUGAAAACUAGGCUUAAUCCGCGAGGAUUAGGUCGAAGGAGUUGAAAGCAAACAACAGCUUUUCAUUCAAAACGUCUGAUCGAUCUAUGAUUGGCAGUGAGCAUAGAGAAGGUCUGAAAAAAAGACGCGAAAAGAUGUCGGGAAAUGAAAUAUAACUGACCCGGGGAGAUCUGAUGCGGUAUAAGGAUUUGACGCCGCGUCAGAAGUCAGCUAGACUAUAGUAGUAUAAGCAGUAAUGCUUUAUGAAGGGUCUACUCUUAUGUUAAGUCCAGAUUACAUUGUCGGUCUUGUUGAUGGGGAAGGUAGUUUUACUGCUUAUGUCCGUGAUCCGGACAAGGGCGGCAAAACCAAGCGUCGGGUAUAUGUCGAACCAAGGUUCUAUAUUAAAUUAAUAGAGAAGGAUAAAGAUAUCCUCUAUAAAUUAAAAGAUUAUUUUAGGUGUGGUAGUAUAUAUUUCCAGCGUGAUAAAAGACCAAAUCAUCAGCAAUGUUAUCGAUACGAAGUGUUUAAUUGGGGAGAUUUACAGAAAAUAAUUAUCCCGUUCUUCUCUAAGCACAGGUUGAGAUUCGUCUCUAAGAAAAAAGACUUCCAGAUAUUUUGCGAUAUUAUGGAGCGUCUCCAGAAAGGCGAACACAAGACCAUUCAAGGACUGAAAAAUCUUCGCCAGAUUAAAGCGAAGAUGCAUUAGGAGCUCGUCGUAUGCGGGAAAUCCGCAGGUACGAUGGGAACAUCAAUUCUGAAAUCCCAGAAGAUACUUGCCCGUCAACUCAAGGGAGCCGGUAAUACCUGAAGAUCCAUGUUUACACGUGGGGACACGGUAGGAUCGGUAACAGGGAGUAAGUCGUAACAAGGCAAGGCUAGCGGAAGCUGGUCUUGGAUCACCUCCUU
This 1470-nucleotide ribosomal RNA is filed under the name Candidatus Yanofskybacteria bacterium GW2011_GWA2_44_9. Its description in RNAcentral is "bacterial SSU rRNA". The stretch from base 1 to 555 matches the Rfam family "Bacterial small subunit ribosomal RNA", at positions 869 to 1533 of the family's 1533-position model. The record is from RNAcentral. Lineage: Bacteria; Candidatus Yanofskyibacteriota.